Molecule: non-coding RNA, 28 nt
Filed under: Homo sapiens (human)
Lineage: Eukaryota; Metazoa; Chordata; Mammalia; Primates; Hominidae
Source: RNAcentral
UCCUGAUAAGCUACUAGGAAGUCAACUU